CAAAUGAACACGGCAGGUCGUAAACAGGCUGCGUGCGGCAAUACGGAACGACUCUUCAUAUAUAGUUGUAGAAUUACCGAAAAUCAGGUCCAUUUUACUCCGUCUUUCUGGUUUGUUUACUGAGCCUGCUGCAAUAAAAAACGAUGCUGGUCAUCGUAUUCUGUGCUCCGAGGGAAACCACUUUCGCCCUCGAUGUUUCUCCGGACCUGGAACUGAGAGACUUCUUAGCACUGUGUGAGCUGGAAUCAGGAAUCCCAGCUGGGGAGAUUCAGAUCACACAUUUAGAACAGCCAUUAAAGGACCCCACCCGUGGUUUGGGGAACUAUGGAGUCCAGGAUGGAGAUAUGGUGGUUCUUAGACAAGCUGAAAGAAGACCACCACCUUCACAGCCAGCCUUUCCAGGUCUGCCACGCAUCGACUUCAGUUCCAUCACAGUCCCGGGCACCUCCACUAGCAUUAGACCGCAGCAGCCAAAUCCACAGCAACAGCCAUCACAGCGUCCUGUACAACCUUCCACACCAUCAGCCUCUCGUGGCUCCUCGUCUUCUCAGGGGCUGGAUGAUCCUGCCUUACUCCAGCAAAUGCUGCUAGCUAAUCCACAUGAGCUAUCUCUCUUAAAGGAGCGCAACCCACCGCUUGCAGAGGCCUUGCUGAGUGGUGACUUAGAUCGCUUCAAGAGAGUGCUACAGGAGCAGCAGCAGGAUCGAGUCAAAAAGGAGCAGGAGAGAAUCCGACUGUUGACUGCUGAUCCUUUUGAUUUGGAGGCUCAAGCAAAGAUUGAAGAGGAAAUAAGGCAACAUAACGUGGAAGAAAACAUGACUAUUGCAAUGGAGGAAGCGCCUGAAAGCUUUGGCCAGGUGGUGAUGCUCUACAUCAACUGCAAAGUGAACGGACAUCCAGUGAAAGCUUUCGUGGAUUCUGGUGCUCAGAUGACCAUUAUGAGCCAAGCGUGUGCCGAGAGAUGCAACAUCAUGCGUUUAGUUGACCGACGCUGGGCUGGGAUCGCCAAAGGAGUUGGAACACAGAAGAUCAUCGGCAGAGUUCAUCUGGCUCAGGUCCAGAUAGAGGGAGACUUUCUACCAUGUUCUUUCUCCAUCCUGGAGGACCAGCCAAUGGACAUGCUGCUCGGCCUGGAUAUGUUGAAGAGACACCAGUGUUCCAUCGACCUGAAGAAGAGCGUGCUCCUAAUAGGCACGACUGGUACUGAGACGCGCUUUUUAUCAGAAGCAGAGCUUCCAGAGUGUGCGCGUCUUGCCUAUGGUCCAGAGGGCCGAGAGGACAUCCGUCCGGAGGAGAUGGAGGACAAAGAGCUAGCAGAAGCACUUCAGAGGUCUAUACAGGAAAGUGGUAAGACCACCAUCUCAUCUUUGCCUGUUUUCACAAUGCUUUUUUUCAGUUUAGUUAGUAACUCAUCUGCAUGUUUCUCAACCCCAUAUUUUCUCAUGUCUGACUACUUUUGCGAACCUAAACAGAACAUGCUCACCUGGCUGGCUCGAGCAUUUAUCUCGAGGUUAACAAUCAAUAUGAAAUUGGAUCUAGUCUGGAUCAAUGCUGGUAAUAACUUAGAUUACUGCGACUUUGAAACUUGCAGUGCUGUCAGGCUGAAACUUUUCAAAAGGGGAAAUGUAUUUAAUUUCUUGCCAACUAUAAUGUGCGCAGAACUAUGGGCAUCCAAAUAGUGGUUGGCUGACAACGUCCCUGACUGUUGAUAGAUGCUGAGGAGGUCUGUUGUCCGUCACUCACAAAGAGUAGAGCCACCACUGUUUCAUUGGAUAGAAGUGGUGGUCUUCUGGCAAUUUAUGUGGAGUGACACAGGGUUGGAUUCUUUUGUGUUUGUAACCUCUCAGCCCAGCCAUGACCUCGAAGUCAGGAGCAGGAGCACCAUUACUGGGCUCAGUCAUGGAUUUCUUUACCCUCAUGACUCUCAUUUGGUCGACAAGUGGGGGCUCCAAAUAUGCUUAUUUGCUUUCUUUAGAUCAAUAUCUUCACCAUAUAGAUAUCCUGGUAUAAGACUUGAUAUCCACGUGUGUAGUGAGGUCAAAAAGUGUGACGCAUGCUCUGCGUGUGGGUGUGAGACUGCUAACUUUUUCCGUCCCUUUGCAUGAUGUGUGUGCCGUGUGCCUUAACCACUGAGCAGGACAGCACUGAUGCAUUACAAGACAGCUGGAGAGGGCCCAAACCAACCAGACACUGCAGAUGGACAAACUACCUCACCACAACCCGAGCCAUUUACAUUACCCGAAAAUUUAGACCAGACUUCUCUAUCCGCUCCGCCGCCUCCCCCUCCUCCUUUUCCUCCCCCCUUAAGUCGGCCUGAGAACCCAACUGCGAGUCC
Molecule: RNA transcript, 2335 nt
Organism: Synchiropus splendidus (mandarinfish)
Lineage: Eukaryota; Metazoa; Chordata; Actinopteri; Syngnathiformes; Callionymidae
Gene: ddi2
Gene name: DNA-damage inducible protein 2
Exons: 10
Source: RefSeq, a predicted model, not a curated record